Molecule: RNase P RNA, 585 nt
Filed under: Thalassoglobus polymorphus
Lineage: Bacteria; Pseudomonadati; Planctomycetota; Planctomycetia; Planctomycetales; Planctomycetaceae
Description: Bacterial RNase P class A
Rfam family: Bacterial RNase P class A
About the family: Ribonuclease P (RNase P) is a ubiquitous endoribonuclease, found in archaea, bacteria and eukarya as well as chloroplasts and mitochondria. Its best characterised activity is the generation of mature 5'-ends of tRNAs by cleaving the 5'-leader elements of precursor-tRNAs.
Source: Rfam by way of RNAcentral
AGAGUGGGCUGAGUGAUCGCUGUUGUUUUCGCGCGAGCGCGAAGAGAGCAGAGGAAAGUCCGGGCUCCGUAGAACACGGUGGUGGGUAACGCCCACCGUCCGCGAGGACCGGGAAAGUGCAACAGAAAGUAAACCGCCGAUGAGCGGUCAGGAGUUAGGAUUCAGGAUUUAGGGUGUCGGAAUAGGUCUCGGUCGAGUUGUCGAUGAACUCAAGGAAGUGAAGUCGUGCGUCUGAUCUUCACGAGGACGACAAGUGUUGAGAACACAAGAGAUACCAGGUUGCUCGAACCGCAAGACAUUCCAGGCUCAACAGAGCACUGAAUCCCAAAUCCUAACUCCUGCCGCAACAGGUAAGGGUGAAACGGUGCGGUAAGAGCGCACCGCAGGGCUGGUGACAGUCCUGGCAUGGUAAACCCCACCGGGAGCAAGACCAAGCAGGGCGAAGUGUGUUGCGGCAACGUGAUGCACACGUAGCUGUUCGCUGCGUUAGACGUCCGGGUCGGUCGCGUCGAGGUGCUUGAGCAAUCAGCACCCCAGAGAAAUGAUCACUCCCGACAGAACCCGGCUUACAGGCCCACUCUGGAU